This 506-nucleotide ribosomal RNA is filed under the name uncultured bacterium. RNAcentral describes it as "partial 16S ribosomal RNA". It matches the Rfam family "Bacterial small subunit ribosomal RNA", at positions 29 to 523 of the family's 1533-position model. The record is from RNAcentral.
AGUGAACGCUGGCGGUAGGCCUAACACAUGCAAGUCGAACGGCAGCACAGGAGAGCUUGCUCUCUGGGUGGCGAGUGGCGGACGGGUGAGGAAUACAUCGGAAUCUACUUUUUCGUGGGGGAUAACGUAGGGAAACUUACGCUAAUACCGCAUACGACCUACGGGUGAAAGCAGGGGACCUUCGGGCCUUGCGCGAUUGAAUGAGCCGAUGUCGGAUUAGCUAGUUGGCGGGGUAAAGGCCCACCAAGGCGACGAUCCGUAGCUGGUCUGAGGAGAUGAGCAGCCACACUGGAACUGAGACACGGUCCAGACUCCUACGGGAGGCAGCAGUGGGGAAUAUUGGACAAUGGGCGCAAGCCUGAUCCAGCCAUACCGCGUGGGUGAAGAAGGCCUUCGGGUUGUAAAGCCCUUUUGUUGGGAAAGAAAUCCAGCUGGCUAAUACCCGGUUGGGAUGACGGUACCCAAAGAAUAAGCACCGGCUAACUUCGUGCCAGCCGCCGCAGUAA